This 253-nucleotide ribosomal RNA is filed under the name uncultured bacterium. Its description in RNAcentral is "partial 16S ribosomal RNA". It matches the Rfam family "Bacterial small subunit ribosomal RNA", at positions 524 to 776 of the family's 1533-position model. The record is from RNAcentral.
UACGUAGGGUGCAAGCGUUAUCCGGAACUAUUGGGCGUAAAGAGCUCGUAGGCGGUCUGUCACGUCGGCUGUGAAAACCCGAGGCUCAACCUCGGGACUGCAGUCGAUACGGGCAGACUAGAGUUCGGUAGGGGAGACUGGAAUUCCUGGUGUAGCGGUGAAAUGCGCAGAUAUCAGGAGGAACACCGGUGGCGAAGGCGGGUCUCUGGGCCGAAACUGACGCUGAGGAGCGAAAGCGUGGGGAGCGAACAGG